AAACCAAACAGUGACUGAGCUCGUUCCCGACUUGCUGGCGUGAUCGGGAGGGCUGAGAAAAUCACAGUCAGCUGCGCCCGGAGAAGCCCUGCCAAGGUGCCAGAGGACGCGGGUUCGAUUCCCGCCACCUCCACCG
This 136-nucleotide transfer-messenger RNA is filed under the name Frankiales bacterium. It matches the Rfam family "transfer-messenger RNA", at positions 236 to 374 of the family's 374-position model. From Rfam's summary of the family: Bacterial tmRNA, also known as 10Sa RNA or SsrA, is named for its dual tRNA and mRNA-like properties. Its role is to liberate the mRNA from a stalled ribosome. Lineage: Bacteria; Bacillati; Actinomycetota; Actinomycetes; Frankiales. The record is from Rfam by way of RNAcentral.